ACAUGCAAGUCGAGCGGAGAUGAGGUGCUUGCACCUUAUCUUAGCGGCGGACGGGUGAGUAAUGCUUAGGAAUCUGCCUAUUAGUGGGGGACAACAUUUCGAAAGGAAUGCUAAUACCGCAUACGCCCUACGGGGGAAAGCAGGGGAUCUUCGGACCUUGCGCUAAUAGAUGAGCCUAAGUCGGAUUAGCUAGUUGGUGGGGUAAAGGCCUACCAAGGCGACGAUCUGUAGCGGGUCUGAGAGGAUGAUCCGCCACACUGGGACUGAGACACGGCCCAGACUCCUACGGGAGGCAGCAGUGGGGAAUAUUGGACAAUGGGGGGAACCCUGAUCCAGCCAUGCCGCGUGUGUGAAGAAGGCCUUUUGGUUGUAAAGCACUUUAAGCGAGGAGGAGGAGCUCUAGAUUAAUACUCUAGAUGCUUGGACGUUACUCGCAGAAUAAGCACCGGCUAACUCUGUGCCAGCAGCCGCGGUAAUACAGAGGGUGCAAGCGUUAAUCGGAUUUACUGGGCGUAAAGCGUGCGUAGGUGGUCUUUUAAGUCGGAUGUGAAAUCCCUGAGCUUAACUUAGGAAUUGCAUUCGAUACUGGGAGACUAGAGUAUGGGAGA
This 608-nucleotide ribosomal RNA is filed under the name unidentified microorganism. RNAcentral describes it as "bacterial SSU rRNA". It matches the Rfam family "Bacterial small subunit ribosomal RNA", at positions 53 to 655 of the family's 1533-position model. The record is from RNAcentral.